This 253-nucleotide ribosomal RNA is filed under the name uncultured bacterium. RNAcentral describes it as "partial 16S ribosomal RNA". It matches the Rfam family "Bacterial small subunit ribosomal RNA", at positions 524 to 776 of the family's 1533-position model. The record is from RNAcentral.
UACGAGGGGGGCGAGCGUUGUUCGGAUUCACUGGGCGUAAAGGGUGCGUAGGCGGUUGGGUAAGUCUGAUGUGAAAUCUCACAGCUUAACUGUGAAACUGCAUUGGAUACUAUCCGGCUAGAGGAAUGGAGGGGAGACUGGAAUACUUGGUGUAGCAGUGAAAUGCGUAGAUAUCAGGAGGAACACCCGUGGCGAAGGCGGCCUUCUGGGUCGACCCUGACGCUGAGGCGCGAAAGCGUGGGGAGCAAACAGG